ACGCAUAGGUUAUGUGCCUCUUAGUUUGGGAUAGCCAUUGGAAACGAUGAUUAAUACCAGAUACUCCCUACGGGGGAAAGAUUUAUCGCUAAGAGAUCAGCCUAUGUCCUAUCAGCUUGUUGGUAAGGUAAUGGCUUACCAAGGCUAUGACGGGUAUCCGGCCUGAGAGGGUGAACGGACACACUGGAACUGAGACACGGUCCAGACUCCUACGGGAGGCAGCAGUAGGGAAUAUUGCUCAAUGGGGGAAACCCUGAAGCAGCAACGCCGCGUGGAGGAUGAAGGUUUUAGG
This 292-nucleotide ribosomal RNA is filed under the name Helicobacter sp. enrichment culture clone LP1Q. RNAcentral's name for it is "partial 16S ribosomal RNA". It matches the Rfam family "Bacterial small subunit ribosomal RNA", at positions 113 to 421 of the family's 1533-position model. Lineage: Bacteria; Pseudomonadati; Campylobacterota; Epsilonproteobacteria; Campylobacterales; Helicobacteraceae. The record is from RNAcentral.